This 273-nucleotide ribosomal RNA is filed under the name uncultured bacterium. RNAcentral describes it as "partial 16S ribosomal RNA". It matches the Rfam family "Bacterial small subunit ribosomal RNA", at positions 28 to 309 of the family's 1533-position model. The record is from RNAcentral.
GAUGAACGCUGGCGGCGUGCCUAAUACAUGCAAGUCGAACGGAGGUCGCAAGGCCUCAGUGGCGAACGGGUGAGUAACGCGUUGGUGACCUGCCCCGGAGAGAGGGAUAACAGAUCGAAAGGUCUGCUAAUACCGCAUGAAAUGCCUGGAGUUAGAGACUGGGCAUCAAAGGAGAAAUCCGCUCUGGGAGGGGCCUGCGUCCCAUCAGCUAGUUGGUGAGGUAAAAGCCCACCAAGGCGAUGACGGGUAGGGGACCUGAGAGGGUGGCCCCCC